UACGUAGGGUGCAAGCGUUAAUCGGAAUUACUGGGCGUAAAGCGUGCGCAGGCGGUUAUGCAAGACAGAUGUGAAAUCCCCGGGCUCAACCUGGGAACUGCAUUUGUGACUGCAUAGCUGGAGUGCGGCAGAGGGGGAUGGAAUUCCGCGUGUAGCAGUGAAAUGCGUAGAUAUCGGAAGGAACAUCAGUGGCGAAAGCGACUUCCUGGACCAGUACCGACGUUCAGGCACGAAAGCGUGGGGAGCAAACAGG
Molecule: ribosomal RNA, 253 nt
Filed under: uncultured bacterium
Lineage: Bacteria
Description: partial 16S ribosomal RNA
Rfam family: Bacterial small subunit ribosomal RNA
Source: RNAcentral